Molecule: unclassified non-coding RNA, 506 nt
Filed under: uncultured Entrophospora
Lineage: Eukaryota; Fungi; Glomeromycota; Glomeromycetes; Entrophosporales; Entrophosporaceae
Description: bacterial SSU rRNA
Rfam family: Eukaryotic small subunit ribosomal RNA
Source: RNAcentral
CCAAUAGCGUAUAUUAAAGUUGCUGUGGUUAAAAAGCUCGUAGUUGAAUUUCGGAAUUGAUGCAUCGGUCGUGCCUUAAGGGGCAUGAACUGGUGUAGCCAAUUUCUCACUUUCUGGUGAAUUGUGAUGUUCUUAAUUGGGUGUCUCAAUGAACUGGAAUUUUUUACUUUGAAAAAAUUAGAGUGUUUAAAGCAGGCAUUAAUUUGCUUGAAUACAUUAGCAUGGAAUAAUGAAAUAGGACGGUGGUUCUGUUUUGUUGGUUUCUAGGAUCACGUAAUGGUUAAUAGGGACAGUUUGGGGCAUUAGUAUUCAAUUGUCAGAGGUGAAAUUCUUGGAUUUAUUGAAGACUAACUAUUGCGAAAGCAUUUGCCAAGGAUGUUUUCAUUAAUCAAGAACGAAAGUUAGGGGAUCAAAGACGAUUAAGUACGUCGUAGUCCUAACCAUAAACUAUGCCGACUAGGAAUCAGACGAUGUUAAUUUUUUAAUGACUCGUUUGGUACCUUACG